This 3551-nucleotide long non-coding RNA is filed under the name Sus scrofa (pig). RNAcentral describes it as "lncRNA (ENSSSCG00030066723.1)". The record is from RNAcentral. Lineage: Eukaryota; Metazoa; Chordata; Mammalia; Artiodactyla; Suidae.
UUUUUUUUUUUUUUUUUUUUUCUAAUGGCCACACCUGCAGCAUAUGGAAGUUCUUGGGCCAGGGACUGAAUCCGAACUGCAUCUGUGGCAGUGCUGGAUCCUUUUAAUCCACUGUGCUGGGCCAGGGAUUGAACUUGCCUCCGCAGUGAACCAAGCUGCUGUAGUCAGAUUCUUAACCCUCUGUGCCACGGCAAGAACUCCAAGGAUGUUGGUCUUUAUCUUAAGAGAAAUUAGAAGAUACAGAAGGAUUUAGAGGAAGGAAGAGGAUGCUAUAAAAAAGUUUCAAAGAAGGAGGCUUGUUACAAGAGAAAGGCAGCAAUGGCGACUAGUGGGAAAAGACGAUUGGGGUGGGUGGACUGUGAGAGGAGGGGUACAUGCCCCUCUGAUGGGCCAGUGUCAGAAGAGCUCAGGGAGAAAGGAGAGGAGAUGGGGCGAUGAGGCAUUUGAAUAAGAGGUUUGGGGGAACUGGGGAUCUGGUGGAAGAGUCUGGAAAGGAGACAAGGAGAGACGGUGUGUGCUGGGCAGGCAGCCCGUUUCACAUAAAGUGGUUGGGGGCCCAUGCAGUUUCUAAUCACAAGGAAUUUAGAGUAGUUCAGCAUCAGGCAGGACCUCAUAGCCUUUUCUAUAAAUAGUGCCUGGGUUCUGGCUGGGAACCUUAGCGUCCGGAUUGGUAACAGUACCAACCAUUCCUGGGUCUGGUCCAAACAGCUACUAAGCCAGAAUACUGACACUUGAGACUGAAAAGGUACACAGAUCACAGAUGCUGGUAAAGUAAGGCCAUAUACAUGACAAUAGAACUCUGAGCCACAGCAGCAACCAAUCCGGGAAGCCCAACCUCAACCUCUGUGGCAUUCAGCCCAGGAUAAUCAGCACUUGGUCAAUGACUGCCAGCUUCCCUGUGUUUGAUCCCUGCUUCCAAUGCAGGACCAACCAGGGAAAGUCAAAUAUGCUCUCCAAGCUAAUAACAUAAGAUUCCCUGCUUCUAGUCAGCUUGCCCCCAGCUUCCCCAGGUCAACAGCCUCCAACCAGAGCUACCUAAUGCCUUCUCCUUUUUGCACUAUGAAGCUUUUCCACUCCCCUAUCUGCCUUAGACUCUCUGCCAAACACCAGUGAAGAUGGCUGUAUCUCUUGCUAGAGACAGCUCUGAAUAAUUAGCCACCAUUUGUUCUCAUUUGGGUGUUCUUUAUUUCCACACAAGUGGAAAAUAAACUUGGAAUGUGUCUCCAAAGGUAUCACAAACUUUGUGGAAUAAAACUCAUAAUAAGAACACACUGAAGGUAAUCUGAGGGGAAUAGAACUGCAACUUUAAAAUUUUAUUUAUUUAUUCGGCCUCACCUGUGGCAUGGAGAAGUUCCCAGGCCAAAGGUCAAACCUGAACCACAGAUAUAACAACAGGCCAUAGCAGUGGCCUGCUGUUUCUGCAGGAUAUGCUAUAGACAAUCAAGACAGAAUAAAGAUAAGGGUAAUACUGUCAUGAAAUAGAUUAUAAAACUGGCAAAAAGAUAAAUUUGAGUAAAAGAGGUGACUAUAAAAUGUCUGCUAGAAACAUAAUUCCUUCCAAAAUAGCAGAUGAGAUGCAUAUCUAACUUGCCUUGUUAAUGUUUCAGGAAUAAAACAAAACCACAAAACCAACAAGAUUGUGUGGAAUCGGAAGAGAAGCCAAAGCUAACAAUCUCCCUAGAAAGUUUCAAAAAUACGGGAGGAAUGAAAUUAAUUGAACCGAAUGGAAUGAACUGGAUAAUGCACAGUUUUGCAAGCAACAGACUAGGAAAGAUGGCUGGAUCUUGGGCGAGUUUUUUAAGAGUCUUGUAAUUGCUUCACUGUUGGAAAUUUAUCAGCCUAUUUUUUUUUCUUCUAUUCAGCAUUACAGCUAAGAGUACAUAUAAAGCAGUGAGGUCUGAAGUUACAUUACAUUAUUUUAGCAUAGGGUCUUAUUUCUGAUAUGCUAAUCUCAGUAGAUAUUGUGGGCAGUUAGGGAUAAAAGUUGAAAUAAAAAAAGCCAGCACCUACACUCUACUAUAGUUAUAUUUCCCACUGAGAGUUAGUGUUUUCAAACUGCCCACACUUUAUUUUAAUCACUGUUAUUUUCUAUCAUCCUAUUAUCACUUUACUGAAUCAAUUUAGGAAGUUUGUAUUGAAAAACAAUAUUGCUCAUGAUUUCGGUAGCUUAUUAGUCCUUUCUAACUAAAGUGGAAGAAGUAAGGGGCCACAACUUUGAAGAAAUGCUAGCCAAACCAAUUCACCUUUUUUAAAAAUUAAAUAUUUCUUAAGUGCGGUAUUUUGGGGGGCUUGAAUGAUCUGGAAAGCAUGUUCAAAGUAGUCCCCAGAAAGCACAACCUGACAAACAGAAAUUGUUGAUUAUGUGACGUUCCCACUUGUUGAGUAGGUAUGAGCAUCUGGGUGUUUAUGAAAUGCAUGCUAGCAUGCCACCUUUUCUACCAAAAGUCUCAAUUUUCCAGCUGUGCAAACAGUGCUCCCGUGACUAGGAGGCUACUGAUUGUAAAUGCACCAUCCUUUCAACAAUAGAUACUCUGGAAAAAAGAGGCCACUCUAUAAAAGGUACAUAUGGUUAUAAAUGCCAAAAUAGAAAGGUACAUCUUAGAAUACAGGUAACAUAAUGCUCUUGUAAACAUACAUAUAUAUACAUAUCUAAUAUGUACUUUUUCUCACAAGCAUACCUAUAUAUAUUUUAAUAUCUCUCCCUCUUUCUCAAACACACACACCCCAUCAUCAUCAUUAUCUAUGUGGGAAAACCUCCAACAUCACAGUAAAUAUAUUUCAAUCUCACAUCCUGAUUAACAGAUGCCAUCACUACAAGCACACUUCUCACAUAAGUGAAGCAAUUUUCACAGUUUGGGUGCCAUCUCCCUUCUUUAGAUAUUGUAGUGCAAAUGAGAAUUUCAGUUUGAUGAUAUCAUGGCAAGUUUAAAUUCACGGCAGUCAGGAAAUUCCCAAAGUAGAUGAAGAACUUCUAAACAUCACAUGUGCACGUGAAGGCUAAGUAUAAACAGCAAAGGUGAUCCCAAUGGCAAUUUUCAUUGUGUUUAGAGGCAUUUAAAUCAAAUCACAAAUGGAAAAUCAUAUAAAUCAAAUCCAUUUGUGAUCUGAUUUAUAUAAUCUUAAUUAUUUAGGACAGAUCACUUUCUAAAACUCAAUAAAAAGGUUAGAUGUGACAUUUGCAGGGGAAAGUAGGUGGGGGGAAUUAGACAUGGCUCCUAACCACAGGAGAAAAACAUAAGGCAAAGGAGAAAAGAUAAACAAGAAUAGAAGAUGACAUAGCCAUCUGUCAGCUCCCAAAGGAGACUUUGGUUUUCAUGAGGGUGUUUUCUGUUUUCUUUUUUAAUGCUUUAUCCAGCAGCAUGCUGCUCAGCUAUUGACAUUCAGGCAUAGGAGAGAGAUGAACACUACUGAUAAUAGGUAACUGCCUUUAGGUAUUCCCCUUUUAUUCAUUUUUUUGGCCACGCCCAUGGCAUGUGGAAGUUCCCUGGGCUAGAGAUUGAAGGGAUCAAGCACUAGCCACAUCCGCGACCAGAGCCACAGCAUAGUGAUAA